This 830-nucleotide unclassified non-coding RNA is filed under the name Hevea brasiliensis (rubber tree). The record is from RNAcentral. Lineage: Eukaryota; Viridiplantae; Streptophyta; Magnoliopsida; Malpighiales; Euphorbiaceae.
UGUAUCAUUGGCAUCACCAUCAUCUAUCUUUUUCUCUCUCUCUCUUCAACCAACAACUGCAAAAUCCCUUCUUUCUCUUAACCAACAACUGAAAAAGUUUUUUUCUUUUUUUAACCCUUUAAGCUUACAUGAGAAGAAGAAGAGCUUAAAAAACAGAGCAAAGCAAAAAAGAUCAAGAUUUGAGGUGAAAUGGGUAAGUAUAUGAGGAAGAGGAAGACAAAAGCUACUGGUGAAGUUGUUGCUGUUUUGGAUGUAAGUCCUUUGGGUGUUCGUACAAGAGCUAAAACCCUAGCUUUGAAGCGAUUGCAGAAAUCGAGCUCAGGUGGCGGUGAUGGUGGUGAUGUGGGUGGGGGAUGUUAUCUGCAGCUGAGGAGCAGGCGGCUGGAGAAACCCUUGGUGGGGUUUGAAGGGAAAAGACGGAAACACCCUUUGAAGGAAUCGAAAAGACAGAAUCGGAGUUUGAGGGUGAGGGAAAUGAAGGGGCAAUCUUGGAAUUCUGGGUCUGGAGAGGGUGAAGAGGAGAAGAAGGAACAAGUACAGGAAAAUCAGAAGGAAAUUGACAACAAUGGAAGCUUUGAAGUUGAAAACUUGCUGGAAUUUGAUGGUAGAGAGAGGACGACCAGGGAGAGCACACCUUGUAAUUUGAUCAGGGACCCGGAUAGCAUACCAACCCCUGGUUCCAGUACAAGAGCUAACAAUGCUAGCGAAGGUAACGGCAGAGAGCCAACUUCAGCGCAAAGAAUUAUCCCAACAGCUCAUGAAAUGAACGACUUCUUUGCUGGUACAGAAGAGAAGCAGCAGAAACAAUUCAUUGAGAAGUACAACUUUGA